Molecule: ribosomal RNA, 761 nt
Filed under: Atrococcus sp. 1 JC-2021
Lineage: Eukaryota; Metazoa; Arthropoda; Insecta; Hemiptera; Pseudococcidae
Description: partial large subunit ribosomal RNA
Rfam family: Eukaryotic large subunit ribosomal RNA
Source: RNAcentral
UUCGGGGGGAAACGGACAGAGCUCGUGAAUCCGGGCGACGGAAUUCAGAAUUUGUGACGUUCACGCGUCGCAGGCUCGAUAUUUCCGUCGCCGCGGACGUCGCGACCCGUUCGGUGUCGGUCUGAGGAGACGUGCGAAAGUUCGUUGACGCGUAAACUUGUUUGGCGCGUCGACGAGUGCGCGUUUUUAUUCUGGCUGACUCGCCGGACGGUAUCAACGGUGGUCGCGGCGAUCUUCGCAUCGCCGUCGAUACCUGUCUGCGACGAAUCUUCGAGUCUCUUUCCGACCCGUCUUGAAACACGGACCAAGGAGUCUAACAUGCGCGCGAGUCGCGGGGUAUCGAGCGGUCGGUGUUCGCAUCGGCCGCUCGUUAUAAUACGAAACCCGUCUCGUUUUACGAAAGGCGCAAUGAAAGUGAAUUUUGGGGAAGAUGACGUUACCGAGUUCACGUUUCGUAUUCUCGUAAUACGACCGGUCGUCCGCAUUCCCAGGGUGUCUCAAAGUUCGAUUUUAUUGCGGAUCGUCGUCUCUUCGGGGGCGGCGGUCGGAUUUGAUCGGGCUGAGGCGCACCUAUAGCGUGCAUGUUGGUACCCGAAAGAUGGUGAACUAUGCCCGGCCAGGAUGAAGUCAGGGGAAACCCUGAUGGAGGUCCGAAGUGGUUCUGACGUGCAAAUCGAUCGUAUGAGCUGGGUAUAGGGGCGAAAGACUAAUCGAACCAUCUAGUAUGGGGCCCCCCCAAAAAAAAAAAAAAAAAUCCCGAU